This 345-nucleotide unclassified non-coding RNA is filed under the name soil metagenome. RNAcentral describes it as "partial contains 5.8S ribosomal RNA, internal transcribed spacer 2, and large subunit ribosomal RNA". The stretch from base 1 to 120 matches the Rfam family "5.8S ribosomal RNA", at positions 35 to 154 of the family's 154-position model. The record is from RNAcentral.
GAUGAAGAACGCAGCGAAAUGCGAUAAGUAAUGUGAAUUGCAGAAUUCAGUGAAUCAUCGAAUCUUUGAACGCACAUUGCGCCCCCUGGCAUUCCGGGGGGCAUGCCUGUUCGAGCGUCAUUGCUGCCCUCAAGCACGGCUUGUGUGUUGGGCCUCCGUCCUCCUCCCGGGGGACGGGCCCGAAAGGCAGCGGCGGCACCGCGUCCGGUCCUCGAGCGUAUGGGGCUUCGUCACCCGCUCUUGUAGGCCCGGCCGGCGCUUGCCGACACAUCAAUCUUUUUUCCAGGUUGACCUCGGAUCAGGUAGGGAUACCCGCUGAACUUAAGCAUAUCAAUAAGCGGAGGA